Ameiurus melas (black bullhead) is the source of this 74-nucleotide non-coding RNA. The record is from the annotation of a GenBank genome assembly. NCBI's taxonomy places the organism in Eukaryota, Metazoa, Chordata, Actinopteri, Siluriformes, Ictaluridae.
GGCAGUGGUAGUGCAGUGGUUAAGACGUUGGACUACUGAUCGGAGGAUUGUUAGUUUAAAUCCCAGUGCUGCCA